GACGAACGCUGGCGGCGUGCUUAACACAUGCAAGUCGAACGGAAAGGCCUCUUUCGAGGGGUACUCGAGUGGCGAACGGGUGAGUAACACGUGAGUAACCUGCCCUUGACUUUGGGAUAACUUCAGGAAACUGGGGCUAAUACCGGAUAGGAGCUCCUGCUGCAUGGUGGGGGUUGGAAAGUUUCGGCGGUUGGGGAUGGACUCGCGGCUUAUCAGCUUGUUGGUGGGGUAGUGGCUUACCAAGGCUUUGACGGGUAGCCGGCCUGAGAGGGUGACCGGCCACAUUGGGACUGAGAUACGGCCCAGACUCCUACGGGAGGCAGCAGUGGGGAAUAUUGCACAAUGGGUGGAAGCCUGAUGCAGCAACGCCGUGUGCGGGAUGACGACCUUCGGGUUGUAAACCGCUUUCGCUCAUGACGAAGCUUUGUGUGACGGUAGUGGGUAAAGAAGCACCGGCUAACUACGUG
Molecule: ribosomal RNA, 467 nt
Filed under: uncultured bacterium
Lineage: Bacteria
Description: partial 16S ribosomal RNA
Rfam family: Bacterial small subunit ribosomal RNA
Source: RNAcentral